This 163-nucleotide ribosomal RNA is filed under the name Brassaiopsis ciliata. RNAcentral describes it as "5.8S ribosomal RNA". It matches the Rfam family "5.8S ribosomal RNA". From Rfam's summary of the family: 5.8S ribosomal RNA (5.8S rRNA) is a component of the large subunit of the eukaryotic ribosome. It is transcribed by RNA polymerase I as part of the 45S precursor that also contains 18S and 28S rRNA. The record is from RNAcentral. Lineage: Eukaryota; Viridiplantae; Streptophyta; Magnoliopsida; Apiales; Araliaceae. RNAcentral also lists the same sequence under 2 other names.
ACGACUCUCGGCAACGGAUAUCUCGGCUCUCGCAUCGAUGAAGAACGUAGCGAAAUGCGAUACUUGGUGUGAAUUGCAGAAUCCCGUGAACCAUCGAGUCUUUGAACGCAAGUUGCGCCCGAAGCCAUUAGGUUGAGGGCACGUCUGCCUGGGCGUCACGCAU